Molecule: long non-coding RNA, 683 nt
Organism: Lathyrus oleraceus (garden pea)
Lineage: Eukaryota; Viridiplantae; Streptophyta; Magnoliopsida; Fabales; Fabaceae
Exons: 2
Source: RefSeq, a predicted model, not a curated record
UCUUUCACAUUAGAAACCUCUUCUACAAAGCCUCAAACUCAUAGCCUUUCCACUUCCUUCAGCCAUGAAAGAAGAUGAUAAGUUAUUAUAUACAUCUUUAAAACUUGAAGAACUCAGAAGCUAGGAGAUGAAGUUUUGAUUAUAAUUCCAUUGCAACUAGAGGAGACAUCCAAAGGGAUCGCAUUGAUCUCAAACCUAAUUAAGUCGUUUUUUCUUAAUUACAUUCUCAGAUCAUGCUAUCCCUUUGGAUUCCUCCUUUAGUGGCUUCUACUAUGAACAAUCAACAUUAACCUCAAUUAUACAAGAGUAUCAUCAUCUUCUUCAUAAAUUAUGAGACAUAUUUUAUAUGAAAAAGUGUUAAAUCUCAAGAGAAGAGAUGAAGAACAUGAUCAUCCCUGUGAGAAAUUUUCUUCAAGUAGCACUGUUUAUGAGUAUUGAAAUGAAGGGAAUUGAAAAAAGUGGUUUGUUUUAAAAGCAACAGUUUGCAUAUUCUCACUCUAAAAAGUCACAAGUUGAGGAUGUCAGUGGUGGAAAAAGUCAUAGUAAUUAUUAUUAUUUUAAAUGCAAACUAUAUAAAAAGUCAUAAUUCAAGUACUAUAACAAAUUAAGUGGAACCAACCUCUGUUAAAGCUUUAAUUUCAAAGCCUAUUUGGAAGUUUAUUUGAAUUUUGAUAAUUAUUCUA